Zea mays is the source of this 1883-nucleotide RNA transcript. It is a transcript of the gene named rho GTPase-activating protein pseudogene, with no coding region annotated. Lineage: Eukaryota; Viridiplantae; Streptophyta; Magnoliopsida; Poales; Poaceae. The transcript has 4 exons. The record is from RefSeq and is marked validated.
UCCCGUUCCUGUUCCCUUCCCACCUCUCCCGGCUUCAGACCUCGGGCUCCCCGCUCCUGCGCCGCCGCCACCGUCGCGGCCCUCAUCCCUCAAAUUAAACCUCUAGGCCUCCACUCGUUGAAGCCACGUCACUCGUAUUAGCACACCUGUCCCUCGCUGUAACGGAGGCCCGUCCCUCGCUGCAACGAAUACCCCUCUCCCUUUAGCUGCACUAGCACUGCACUGGUUCGUAUCGUCUCCCACUCUCCCUCUCCCUCCCAUUCACACGGUCUCAGUGAAGAACUCCUCCGCGACUUGGUGGCCAUCGAUGGCGACGCACUGCCCUACCACGACAUGGGUUGUUUGGAGAUGGUCAUGUACGAGCGGUGGUUCAUGUUCUAGAAGCGGCGGCAACAUCCUACACCUGAGAGCGGCCGAGUCAUCCCGAACCCGCACGGCACACGCGGACGCGCUCACGCGCCUGGGCUGGGGAUUUAUGCUUCUGACGGAAAUAUUUGGUGGUUCAGUUUGAAUCAAGAGUUUUUGUGUAUUUCUUUCUUACUAUGAUUUGGUAGGGAGGGACUGAAUAUUAUCAUGGAAUUGGAAUACAAAUAAACAAAUUCAAUCUAUUGCAGCGGAGGAUAAGCAUGUAAUUAGCAGACCAACAACAUUUGCACUUGUCCAUGCUGAUGGCACUACAAAAUUCCUGGGUAAGGCCUUAAAGUUCAUCAAAGAUUAUGGUAAAUCCUUUUUCCAUAUUUUAAUAAUUCAAUACACGUUUGUUGAGAUAAUGGAUGUAGUUUUCUCCAGAGAUGUGUGGAGAUGUGUCUAGCAUAUGAUUAAGGUAUAACAGUAUAACACAGUUUCAGUGUCUGCACUCUGUCCAUCCACUUGGCUUUGUUUGGUUGAUAUCUUUUUGUUCUUGCAUAAUGGAUUAGUUCAUGGAUGGGAUCUCGAUUUUGCUCUAUGGAAAUGUGUGGUGGUACACACUUCAAAACAUAGUUACAACAUUGAAGAGAAUCGUGACUACAAUGAGUGGAACUGCACUAUCACUAUAGAUCUAUAGCAGUAGAGUUAUGAAGGAACUUUAUCAUUCACUGACUCACAAUUGCUGCAUGUUUUGUAUAAUGAGUUUUUGGUUGAUGGAGCUCGGGUUGUGGGUAAUAGAUGCAUCCAGUCAGAUCGUGUUCACUUGGGGAAGGAUACAUGGAUUUUGUGAUGAACACAAACUUACAAAGGCACAUGUCUUAACUCUUAAUACAAGUUUUUGCUUAAUGACUUCAUGGACAUGGAAUGGAGAAGAUCUACCCCCUCCUGAUACUAAAGCUAUUAGGGAUAUCUGUGUACUGCAUGGCGGGCAUGUUGUAUUGCAUCACUGAGCAGGAAGUUCCCUUUUCAGGUCUACAAAGAAAGUGGUGCACCCAUAAGGUGAGGGCAUCUAUCACAAAAGUUUGUCAUGAAGCGAAAGAGAUCUUUCAAGAGACAAAAAAGCCAAGUUGGUCAUGGAAUGCUUGAAAUUUUAUUGCAUGACAAUGAUGAAGAGGAGGCAGCAUUGCAGAGAGUUGCCCAAGCUGAACGUGCGGCAAAAUAGGCUGUACAAAGAGCUAUUCGACUGCGCAACAAGGUCCAAUUCUCAUGACAAACACAGAACUCGCAACAUACAAAUCUAUCAUAGUUCUCAGGAUUGUCGAGGCUGCUAGUAUAUCAGACUCGUCCCAAGAUAUUAUUUGUAUUAUCCUCGACUAAAGAAUAAUAUGGGUUGUUCAUUAUUUUUGUGAAGAGCAUGGGAAACACUCUUUGUAGCCAUGAUAUUGGCUUUUGAUGAGUUGUUCAUUGUUUUUAAGAAUAUACUGCCAUGUAAGUCAUUUUGUUUACAUCUUAAUAUGACGGUUUCCAUAAUGUCC